This is a long non-coding RNA of Ostrea edulis (European flat oyster), 2427 nucleotides long. RefSeq lists it as uncharacterized. The transcript has 2 exons. NCBI's taxonomy places the organism in Eukaryota, Metazoa, Mollusca, Bivalvia, Ostreida, Ostreidae. The record is from RefSeq and is a predicted model, not a curated record.
CAGAUAAGGUUAUACAUGUAGCACGUCGACUGUGCGAAUUAGAGUGCAGUGCUCAAGGGUUUUAAAUUUUUUUCAGAUUACUUUCUAAUAAAACUGCAUUUUUUAAAAACAAAACAAACUAUAAUCAAAGCAAAUUUGAAAGUUUUCAAUUUCAAACUAUUGUUGUAUAUAUAUAUAUCCUCUACUUUUCAACCACAUCAAAUAUCUCUGGUGUAGCAUACCUCCUUAAAUGCCAGUGACAUUACCGGGAAUCCUAAUCCGAUAGAGGCCAAAGAUUACCGCGUUAUCACUGAGUGGUUCCUACUGUAAUGACAAGAAAAAGCUGCAGUUUCUUGGUCUAUGUUGACACGUGCAUGUAAUGCUGAAGUGCAUUAAGAUAAACAUAGAAAAUUCGGUAAAUUCUAUCAAUUCGGCAACUACCGUGCUGUAUAUAAAUACAAUUAUACAUGUACAUAUCAGGCUAUGAACUCUUGCAGGCGUAAAAUGAAAAAAUAAAAUAAAAUAAAACUGUGUUUUACAAAGAAAAAUAACAGCAGCUAGGUCAAACUUGAAAUAGUCAAAACGAAUUUUUUUUUUUCGUGAUUGAUAAUGAUAUGUCUAUCGAAAAAACCCAAUCUAAUUAGAUUGGAAUUUCCUCCCAGAACAUUCGAUAUAUCAUUUUCGAGAUUAAUAUGAUUCCAUAAGGAAAUAUUUCAGACCUAUUGGGAAAAUCCUCCCGAUUCAAUAAUUGAAAUGAAGCAUAAAUAAGAAUGUGCCAUUUCUGAUAAAAUAUCGCAAUGAGACCGAGCAACUUCGCUAUUUUCAACAAAAAUACGUUAAACUAGCUUUCGAGGGAUUCUUCGAGACGUUUGAAACAUGAUUUUUCAUCUUUGGGUCUGCAACACGCAUAGAAAAUCUCUACAGCUGUCUUAUCGUGUUUAUAUUCUAUAAAGGAGAAGCACUUAAUUAAAAUCAUGUUUACAUUCUAUAAAGGAGAAGCACUUAAUUAAAAUCAUGUUUACAUUCUAUAAAGGAGAAGCACUAAUUAAAACCAUGUUUACAUUCUAUAAAGGAGAAGCACUUAAUUAAAAUGACUCUGCGCUGAAUUCCAAUGUUAAAAUUUUCAUGCAGGAGGACUUUUACCUCACGUGAGCUAGUGUCACAUGACUUUGACAUGGUACUAUCUGUUACAGCGACUUUUAUGUUGGUGAAUAUUCAUUGGUAAAGCCCAGCGACUUUUAUGUUAGUGAAUAUUCAUUGGUAAAGCCCAGCGACUUUUAUGUUGGUGAUAUUCAUUGGUAAAGCUCAGCGACUUUUAUGUCAGUGAAUAUUCAUUGGUAAAGCUCAGCGACUUUUAUGUUAGUGAAUAUUCAUUGGUAAAGCCCAGCGACUUUUAUGUUAGUGAAUAUUUAAGAAAUAAGGUAUCAUUUAAAAAUAUUUAUCGGGAUAUAAAUACGGGUUGGUCACGUGAUCAAAUUCCAUAAAGCCCGAAGGGCUUUAUGGAAAAUUUGACCAUGUAGCAACCCGUAUUUAUAUCCCGAUAAAUAUUUUAAAAUGAUAUCUUAUUACUUAUAUUUACAUUUUUGGUCGGUAACAUUGCUGAAUUGUGUUAACAACACGUUUCCAUACAUUUCAAAUUGUUGACGUCCACAACGAAGCGUCAUAGAUGUUCAAAAUGACGACAACACAAAACAAAGUUCUAUAAAAUGAAGAACUGUUUUAAUUAUUAAGACGCUAGAAAGCAAGUAUAUCAACAUAUACUUAUACAUUAACUCGGGAGUAUAUAAUGGAAAACUCUUCCAUGUGUCUAAUUUUAGGGGGUGGGGGAAUUAUGAUUUAAACGGGGAUGCGCAGUGUUACACUUAGAGUUGUGAUGCGCUUUGACUUUUGAAAAGUGAAGACGUUGAAGACCGACUUUGAAAGAUAUUCUGUGGAUAUUACGGAGUUAACAGAAGACUGAGAUGGAGGAACAUGAAGAACAGGGCGGCAGUCGUCAGGUGUAGGCAAAUUAUUUAUAGACAGGACAGCUCGACAGAGGACGCAGCUCAGAUGAAUCUCCGGAAAGAACUGAACAUCGCAGAGAAUGUGGAACUGCACGAAGGUUGUUAACGACGCCUCGCUUCGAUGUCCCGACAUAAACUUGGAAACCGACAUCAAGCACUAUGGCUGCUGUGGCACGGAAGCAGUGUGGUGUGUAGGUCUUAAUGCACUUUGACGACUUAUCGGCCAUACAUCCUGUGAACGACCUUUUUGCUAAAGCCUAAUGUCAUCGUCUAGCAGUAGGUACAAUUCCGCAUCACCGAUGACCAAGGUGAAGUAGCAGACGAAAUUUUAGACAUACAUUAGGCCUAGUAGGCUAGUAACUAAAGACAUUGUUUACAGUUAUGAUUUUAUCAAUUAUUGAUGAAAGUCCACUGCUUGGAAUACAAAUAAAACCGUAAAUACAUU